Molecule: ribosomal RNA, 465 nt
Filed under: Vreelandella stevensii
Lineage: Bacteria; Pseudomonadati; Pseudomonadota; Gammaproteobacteria; Oceanospirillales; Halomonadaceae
Description: partial 16S ribosomal RNA
Rfam family: Bacterial small subunit ribosomal RNA
Source: RNAcentral
CCUACGUGGAGCUGCAGUGGGGAAUAUUGGACAAUGGGCGAAAGCCUGAUCCAGCCAUGCCGCGUGUGUGAAGAAGGCCUUCGGGUUGUAAAGCACUUUCAGUGGGGAAGAAAGCCUUGGGGCUAAUACCCUCGAGGAAGGACAUCACCCACAGAAGAAGCACCGGCUAACUCCGUGCCAGCAGCCGCGGUAAUACGGAGGGUGCGAGCGUUAAUCGGAAUUACUGGGCGUAAAGCGCGCGUAGGCGGUCUGAUAAGCCGGUUGUGAAAGCCCCGGGCUCAACCUGGGAACGGCAUCCGGAACUGUCAGGCUAGAGUGCAGGAGAGGAAGGUAGAAUUCCCGGUGUAGCGGUGAAAUGCGUAGAGAUCGGGAGGAAUACCAGUGGCGAAGGCGGCCUUCUGGACUGACACUGACGCUGAGGUGCGAAAGCGUGGGUAGCAAACAGGAUUAGAUACCCGGGUAGUC